This 1039-nucleotide long non-coding RNA is filed under the name Nicotiana benthamiana. RNAcentral describes it as "long non-coding RNA (NBEN_LNC018433)". The stretch from base 244 to 314 matches the Rfam family "MIR6151 microRNA precursor family". The record is from RNAcentral. Lineage: Eukaryota; Viridiplantae; Streptophyta; Magnoliopsida; Solanales; Solanaceae.
UUUUACUCAACCCCAAAAACCCAAAUCCCUAACUCCACGAGCACAUUUCUUCUUCUCCAAACAAACACCCGAAUCCAACUCCUAUUUCAGCCCAACUCCAUGUGAGUGAGCACCAAAUCCCUAACACACGCGUCCCUCCAUCUCUCGCCUUACCGUUCUAACGGUUUCUGACGCCAAUAUUCCCCUUUUCUCUCACUCGGUCGAUUUUGAGACUUAUCUCACGAUUGGAAAGUUCUGAGAAGGAUUUGCUGGAUGAGUGUAAGGCGUUAGAUUGAUCUCAUUCAAUCCGAGCCCCGCAUUCAUUAAGGAUUCGUUUUCAAAUUGGGUCAGUUCCGAUUUUGAGAUGAAGAAAAAAGAAAUUUGAGUUGGAGAGAUUUUCGGAAAGGAACUUGAGAGAUUAUUUUCAGUUUAUUUCGUCCUUAUAUUUGUGAUACUGGAACACGAAAAUGACUGAGGGUGCUGUUAUUUCAUUUUUCUUGUCGAUUAUUGUUUAGAGUUUUUGUCUUUAAGACCUCUAGAGAUCACCUUUUCAUUAUAAUUCUUGAUUUUUGGGUUAAAAGGAAGUCAUUUGAAGUCGAAUCAGUUGCUGCUCGAGGACUGUUGUUUAGCUACUGGUUAUUCUCUUUUGGUCAAUUUCAAUGUUGUGACGAAUUCAGUUUAACUCCAGGUUUAUUUCACUUAUUCAUCUUAGUUCCCGUUGUAAGUCGAUCUCUGAAUGAGCUAUAAAAUGGAUUGAAGUUUCAAAAAAUGAGUGAGAAUUCUGUAGUUGUCCUAAGCUCAUCUCGCUGCUCUGUUUUUUUUCUCUUGUUUGAAUUAGCUUCUUCUCUGAUUUCAUAUGUGUAUUAGGGAGUGUUUGUAUGGUCUUAUAGUCUCAGAAUCUAUCGAAACAUGUGAUUUAUGUGUUCGUCUGCCUCGUCUAUCACUGUUCGAUCAUAGUUUGGUUUGAAAAAUGUUUGAGAAUUGGUUCCUAAAUCUGAAUUUUAAUUUUGCUUGGUGUUCUAUUAUCAUGCUGUCGGAGUUGAUUUGUUAUUGCUAGUUG